RNAcentral lists this ribosomal RNA (491 nucleotides) under uncultured bacterium. Its description in RNAcentral is "partial 16S ribosomal RNA". It matches the Rfam family "Bacterial small subunit ribosomal RNA", at positions 29 to 507 of the family's 1533-position model. The record is from RNAcentral.
AGUGAGCGCUGGCGGUAGGCCUAACACAUGCAAGUCGAACGGCAGCACAGUAAGAGCUUGCUCUUACGGGUGGCGAGUGGCGGACGGGUGAGGAAUACAUCGGAAUCUACUUUUUCGUGGGGGAUAACGUAGGGAAACUUACGCUAAUACCGCAUACGACCUACGGGUGAAAGCAGGGGAUCUUCGGACCUUGCGCGAUUGAAUGAGCCGAUGUCGGAUUAGCUAGUUGGCGGGGUAAAGGCCCACCAAGGCGACGAUCCGUAGCUGGUCUGAGAGGAUGAUCAGCCACACUGGAACUGAGACACGGUCCAGACUCCUACGGGAGGCAGCAGUGGGGAAUAUUGACAAUGGGCGCAAGCCUGAUCCAGCCAUACCGCGUGGGUGAAGAAGGCCUUCGGGUUGUAAAGCCCUUUUGUUGGGAAAGAAAAGCAGCAGGUUAAUACCCCGCUGUUCUGACGGUACCCAAAGAAUAAGCACCGGCUAACUUCGUG